GCCUGGCUGGCUCAGUCAGUAGAGCAUACGGGUCUUAAUCUUGGGGUCAUGAGUUCAAGCCCUAUGUUGGGCA
Molecule: transfer RNA, 73 nt
Filed under: Ursus americanus (American black bear)
Lineage: Eukaryota; Metazoa; Chordata; Mammalia; Carnivora; Ursidae
Also listed under: 1 other name
Rfam family: tRNA
About the family: Transfer RNA (tRNA) molecules are approximately 80 nucleotides in length. Their secondary structure includes four short double-helical elements and three loops (D, anti-codon, and T loops). Further hydrogen bonds mediate the characteristic L-shaped molecular structure. tRNAs have two regions of fundamental functional importance: the anti-codon, which is responsible for specific mRNA codon recognition, and the 3' end, to which the tRNAs corresponding amino acid is attached (by aminoacyl-tRNA synthetases). tRNAs cope with the degeneracy of the genetic code in two manners: having more than one tRNA (with a specific anti-codon) for a particular amino acid; and 'wobble' base-pairing, i.e. permitting non-standard base-pairing at the 3rd anti-codon position.
Source: Rfam by way of RNAcentral